Molecule: non-coding RNA, 176 nt
Organism: Oryza meridionalis
Lineage: Eukaryota; Viridiplantae; Streptophyta; Magnoliopsida; Poales; Poaceae
Source: Rfam
AACCACACUAUCAAUGAAUGGAUUCACCUGUGAUAUGACGUGGCUGUACCACUUAGGACGAGGACAUGGCAUCCAAUUAUCAGCCAUUGCACGAAAUUAAUAGGAUGCCACGUUCUCAUCUUAGGUGGAACAAGCACGUUAUCUCAUAGGUAAAUCCAUUCAUUGAUAGUGUGGUU